Molecule: ribosomal RNA, 740 nt
Filed under: Streptomyces lienomycini
Lineage: Bacteria; Bacillati; Actinomycetota; Actinomycetes; Kitasatosporales; Streptomycetaceae
Description: bacterial SSU rRNA
Rfam family: Bacterial small subunit ribosomal RNA
Source: RNAcentral
CACUUCGGUGGGGAUUAGUGGCGAACGGGUGAGUAACACGUGGGCAAUCUGCCCUGCACUCUGGGACAAGCCCUGGAAACGGGGUCUAAUACCGGAUACUGAGUCUCGCGGGCAUCUACGAGGUUCGAAAGCUCCGGCGGUGCAGGAUGAGCCCGCGGCCUAUCAGCUUGUUGGUGAGGUAAUGGCUCACCAAGGCGACGACGGGUAGCCGGCCUGAGAGGGCGACCGGCCACACUGGGACUGAGACACGGCCCAAACUCCUACGGGAGGCAGCAGUGGGGAAUAUUGCACAAUGGGCGGAAGCCUGAUGCAGCGACGCCGCGUGAGGGAUGACGGCCUUCGGGUUGUAAACCUCUUUCAGCAGGGAAGAAGCGAAAGUGACGGUACCUGCAGAAGAAGCGCCGGCUAACUACGUGCCAGCAGCCGCGGUAAUACGUAGGGCGCAAGCGUUGUCCGGAAUUAUUGGGCGUAAAGAGCUCGUAGGCGGCUUGUCACGUCGGUUGUGAAAGCCCGGGGCUUAACCCCGGGUCUGCAGUCGAUACGGGCAGGCUAGAGUUCGGUAGGGGAGAUCGGAAUUCCUGGUGUAGCGGUGAAAUGCGCAGAUAUCAGGAGGAACACCGGUGGCGAAGGCGGAUCUCUGGGCCGAUACUGACGCUGAGGAGCGAAAGCGUGGGGAGCGAACAGGAUUAGAUACCCUGGUAGUCCACGCCGUAAACGGUGGGCACUAGGUGUGGGCAACA